RNAcentral lists this ribosomal RNA (185 nucleotides) under uncultured bacterium. RNAcentral describes it as "partial 16S ribosomal RNA". It matches the Rfam family "Bacterial small subunit ribosomal RNA", at positions 521 to 704 of the family's 1533-position model. The record is from RNAcentral.
UAAGACGAACCGUGCGAACGUUAUUCGGAAUCACUGGGCUUAAAGCGCGUGUAGGCGGAUGUGCACGUCUGUCGCUGAAAUCCCCCGGCUCAACCGGGGAACGGGCGCGGAUACGGCACGUCUGGAGGGGCGUAGGGGGACCUGGAACUUCCGGUGGAGCGGUGAAAUGCGUUGAGAUCGGAAGG